RNAcentral lists this ribosomal RNA (370 nucleotides) under uncultured organism. RNAcentral's name for it is "partial 16S ribosomal RNA". It matches the Rfam family "Bacterial small subunit ribosomal RNA", at positions 527 to 896 of the family's 1533-position model. The record is from RNAcentral.
GUACUGUGCAAACGUUAUUCGGAAUCACUGGGGCUUAAAGGGUGCGUAGGCGGCUAGCUAAGUAGGGUGUGAAAUGCCUCGACUCAACCGAGGAACUGCGCUCUAAACUGGUUGGCUUGAGUGAGAUAGGGGUGUGCGGAACUUCCAGUGGAGCGGUGAAAUGUGUUGAUAUUGGAAGGAACGCCGGUGGCGAAAGCGGCACACUGGGUCUCAACUGACGCUGAGGCACGAAAGCCAGGGUAGCGAACGGGAUUAGAUACCCCGGUAGUCCUGGCUGUAAACGAUGAGCACUAGAUGGGAGGGACUUCGGUCCAUCCGGUCGCAGCGAAAGCAUUAAGUGCUCCGCCUGGGGAGUAUGGUCGCAAGGCUG